CAGUAGCCGCGGUAAUACGUAGGGGGCAAGCGUUAUCCGGAAUUACUGGGUGUAAAGGGAGCGUAGACGGUUAAACAAGUCUGAAGUGAAAUGCCGGGGCUCAACCCCGGAGCUGCUUUGGGAACUGUAGAACUGGAGUGUCGGAGGGGUAAGCGGAAUUCCCAGUGUAGCGGUGAAAUGCGUAGAUAUUGGGAGGAACACCGGCGGCGAAGGCGGCUUACUGGACGACAACUGACGUUGAGGCUCGAAGGCGUGGGUAGCAAACAGGAUUAGAUACCCCGGUAGUCCCUGUCUCUUAUAU
RNAcentral lists this ribosomal RNA (301 nucleotides) under uncultured bacterium. RNAcentral describes it as "partial 16S ribosomal RNA". It matches the Rfam family "Bacterial small subunit ribosomal RNA", at positions 509 to 809 of the family's 1533-position model. The record is from RNAcentral.